Molecule: long non-coding RNA, 471 nt
Organism: Galleria mellonella (greater wax moth)
Lineage: Eukaryota; Metazoa; Arthropoda; Insecta; Lepidoptera; Pyralidae
Exons: 3
Source: RefSeq, a predicted model, not a curated record
UGUGCGUGCGACAAGGACAGCGACUGAUAAUAUCCUGAGUGAGAGUGAGAUGUGACGAGCUUAUCCGAUCGAUAGCCGCAGCCGCAGAGUGCUGCUCGUGUGACGUCACGCGCCCGUCAUCUUUGACUCUGUUCAAGAAAUUGUCACUACAUUUUCCGUGUAAAAGAACGGUCCAUUAUCGGUAGUUCAGUUGGUAACAAUGUAUGGAAUGGCCUUCGGAAUUAUGUAGGAGCUUAGAACAGAACCAUACAGAAUCGACAAAAUGUGUUAUGUAAACAGCAGCGCUAAAUAUGGAGCCGUUGUAUCAACAAGGGAGAGAAUAAAGUCGAACCAUUUUUUAAUUGCUAUACUUUAAAGAUUUAAGCUUUCGUCUUUUGUACACAUAGGACUUGAUGCGAGGGUGGUCGAAGAAACUGCGCGGGCUGUCAAAAUAAAACGCCGCGGACUUUAGUCCUGCUGUGAUCACGAUGU